GAUGAACGCUGGCGGCGUGCCUAAUACAUGCAAGUCGAGCGAACAGAUAAGGAGCUUGCUCCUUUGACGUUAGCGGCGGACGGGUGAGUAACACGUGGGUAACCUACCUAUAGGACUGGGAUAACUUCGGGAAACCGGAGCUAAUACCGGAUAACAUUUGGAACCGCAUGGUUCUAAAGUGAAAGAUGGUUUUGCUAUCACUUAUAGAUGGACCCGCGCCGUAUUAGCUAGUUGGUAAGGUAACGGCUUACCAAGGCAACGAUACGUAGCCGACCUGAGAGGGUGAUCGGCCACACUGGAACUGAGACACGGUCCAGACUCCUACGGGAGGCAGCAGUAGGGAAUCUUCCGCAAUGGGCGAAAGCCUGACGGAGCAACGCCGCGUGAGUGAUGAAGGGUUUCGGCUCGUAAAACUCUGUUAUUAGGGAAGAACAAAUGUGUAAGUAACUGUGCACGUCUUGACGGUACCUAAUCAGAAAGCCACGGCUAACUACGUG
This 497-nucleotide ribosomal RNA is filed under the name uncultured bacterium. RNAcentral describes it as "partial 16S ribosomal RNA". It matches the Rfam family "Bacterial small subunit ribosomal RNA", at positions 28 to 507 of the family's 1533-position model. The record is from RNAcentral.